RNAcentral lists this microRNA precursor (94 nucleotides) under Polistes canadensis. RNAcentral's name for it is "microRNA pca-mir-929 precursor". Its record names the gene pca-mir-929. The stretch from base 8 to 84 matches the Rfam family "mir-929 microRNA precursor family". The record is from miRBase by way of RNAcentral. Lineage: Eukaryota; Metazoa; Arthropoda; Insecta; Hymenoptera; Vespidae.
ACUUAACUGGGGUCAAAUUGACUCUAGUAGGGAGUCCCUGCAUUCAAUAUGGCGACUUCCUAAUAGAGUCAGGCUGACUCCUUUUAAGACGUUC